Non-coding RNA from Solanum lycopersicum (tomato), 150 nucleotides. NCBI's taxonomy places the organism in Eukaryota, Viridiplantae, Streptophyta, Magnoliopsida, Solanales, Solanaceae. The record is from Rfam.
CCUGCUAUGCGACUAGCAGUAGCCUAGGGAGACAUGCGUCACUGGUAACGGUGGGGUGUGAAGCUCUUCUGACAACGCUGCCCCCGUAAGGGUGCGUCCAUGCCGUGAGGCGGGGAUGUAAAGGCUCCAAGCAGCAAAGGGGUCGAGGUG